AUUCUUUGAUGGAUGUCUUCCCUCAAGUGUGCACAGCUGGCUGAGUCCCUCUCUUGCCUAAUUAAGGGGCUUUAUUCUGCUCACGCUCAGAGCUGCUGCCUGCAUGCUUGUCUGGAAGCCGACAUCAAGCCCAUUUGGCCAGAAAUACCUCUAGAGGUGGAACUGGCCCAGAAGACUGGACCCCCAGAGUGCUAUGGAAUGUCUAUGGGAACAAAGGAGGACCUAAUGGACAGCAGAGAAACACGAUGCCCAGCUCUGGUCUGGUAGGAGGUCCCUAGAAGAAUGGCUUCAAGUGAGACUUAGAAAUACACCCAGUCGGUUAGCCUUUGGGAAGCGUAAUGAGUACUACCUCCAGUAGUUUUUGAAGAUGAGGAAACAGAAGCUGGGAUAUGUGAGUAAACAUUUCCAAGGUCCUGCAGCUAAUCAAUGGUUGACAACUUCUUUCCUCUGCCUAUGUUGCCAUCCAUGUCAUGGUUUGUGUCAAGACUCUAGGAGAAGUCUACCAUCAGCACCACAGCUACUGUGCACAAAUCCAGAAUGCCAGACUGAAGUCAGAAGGAAAGAGAACUUUUCCAACCAGCAGUGGGGCCCUUAGCAGGGGAGACUGGAAACAGAUCCUUUAUAUAUUGAAAGAAGAAAGUAGAACCAUUUCUGGGUCCCAGCUGUGGGAAGAGCUCCUGUGGCUGUGAAUUCUGACUUCUGGGUCUUGGCACAAGGUGUGGCCAGCAAGCUAAGCUGUCCUGAGGGUGUGCAGGGCCAGGGGCUGAAGACAGUGUUGGAGCAUCCACAGACUGGUUUGUCUCAAGAAGCAUGUUACUAAAUAUGAAAUAGCAAAAUCUGCAAGUGGGUUUACUUUUCCCCCAUAGAUUAGAAUGGAUUCAAUAUUAUCUCUUUAUUAGCGUCACUUUUAAUCACUUGUAUAACAAGUAGGACAGAAAGGUGGCUUGAAAGUCAAUCAUGUGAGAAUUCCAGAUAAAUUGACUUUGCUCACAACAAUCUGUUAUUCAUGUGACUAUCAACUGUCAUGUGUGCUGGGGCAAAAAAAGAAGAUAAGGAUUCACUGGUAUCAGAUAGUUCCAGGAGGGGAAACCCAGGAUUGAACUUUUUCAGCCUUCUAUGGUAAAAUUUCCUGCUCUGUCGGUGCGCCAAAGCUUUUUUCAGUUUCCUAAACUCCCAUAUUCAAGAAGAUAAGCUAUUUUCUCUUCUUUCUCAUCCUUCCUUGACAAAGCAAAGCAUAUUUUCAUUGUCUACUCUGUGUCAUCCAUGCUUGGUUCCUGUCCUCAAAGAGCUUAUAGUUCAAAUAAAGGAGAGGGAGCAUUUUACAAGGGAAUUAAAGGUAAAAGAUUCUGAAAGCCAGUUUAAAAAGUCGUGAGGGAGGGGUCUGGGAGAAGCUGAGCAGGGGUGAAAGGGUACGAAACAUUAUGGAAGGAGAACAGGGGAGCACCCUGACUACUGGGUGGAAACACCAAUCAGUGGGUAGAAACCACACAGUGGUAACACUGAUCAGUGGGUAGAAAACAAUGACAGCAGGUAUAUGAGGCAUGGAACACUUGGCUUAUUGUAAAGUUUUCAAAAUAUGCAGUCCUUUCUAUCCACCAGGGGUUGGGAGUUGUCUUUGUAUAUCAACCGUGGAAGGGCUGUUUUGGUUCAUCAUUCUGUGGUCUACCUGGGUAGACCUGAUGCAGCCGUGUUUCUGAGGAAAGGAAGAACAGCUUUUGUUUUGUGAUAUGUAAUGGUAGAUGUAGUGCCAUGGAAUGAUGCAGAUUUCAUUCAGAUAUUCUUGGAUCUUGGCCCCAGGACUCACUCAUUCUUCCCUAUAUGAGCAUUGGUAGUUACAGGUUUUAUCCUUCCUUUAAUUGUAAGUCUUUUGAAGCCAAAAACUGUAUCCAAUUUGUCACUGUCUCCUAACAGUACUUAGCAGUGUCUGAUGCAUCAUAGGGAGUUUGUAAAUGUUUGGAUAAAUAAAGGGAAAACAAAAACAACCACAAAAAAACCUUUAUUUUGCUUUAAUAAAAAUAUUUUAACUAGUU
RNAcentral lists this long non-coding RNA (2030 nucleotides) under Homo sapiens (human). RNAcentral describes it as "long independently transcribed non-coding RNA 3007 (LINC03007)". Lineage: Eukaryota; Metazoa; Chordata; Mammalia; Primates; Hominidae. The record is from RNAcentral.